Molecule: ribosomal RNA, 208 nt
Filed under: uncultured bacterium
Lineage: Bacteria
Description: partial 16S ribosomal RNA
Rfam family: Bacterial small subunit ribosomal RNA
Source: RNAcentral
UACGUAGGGGGCAAGCGUUGUCCGGAAUCAUUGGGCGUAAAGAGCGCGUAGGCGGCCCUGUAAGUCCGCUGUGAAAGUCAAGGGCUCAACCCUUGAAUGCCGGUGGAUACUGCAGGGCUAGAGUCCGGAAGAGGCGAGUGGAAUUCCUGGUGUAGCGGUGAAAUGCGCAGAUAUCAGGAGGAACACCGAUGGCGAAGGCAGGCUCGUG